AGUGAACGCUGGCGGUAGGCCUAACACAUGCAAGUCGAACGGCAGCACAGUAAGAGCUUGCUCUUACGGGUGGCGCGUGGCGGACGGGUGAGGAAUACAUCGGAAUCUACUUUUUCGUGGGGGAUAACGUAGGGAAACUUACGCUAAUACCGCAUACGACCUACGGGUGAAAGCAGGGGAUCUUCGGACCUUGCGCGAUUGAAUGAGCCGAUGUCGGAUUAGCUAGUUGGCGGGGUAAAGGCCCACCAAGGCGACGAUCCGUAGCUGGUCUGAGAGGAUGAUCAGCCACACUGGAACUGAGACACGGUCCAGACUCCUACGGGAGGCAGCAGUGGGGAAUAUUGGACAAUGGGCGCAAGCCUGAUCCAGCCAUACCGCGUGGGUGAAGAAGGCCUUCGGGUUGUAAAGCCCUGUUGUUGGGAAAGAAAAGCAGCAGGUUAAUACCCCGCUGUUCUGACGGUACCCAAAGAAUAAGCACCGGCUAACUUCGUG
RNAcentral lists this ribosomal RNA (492 nucleotides) under uncultured bacterium. Its description in RNAcentral is "partial 16S ribosomal RNA". It matches the Rfam family "Bacterial small subunit ribosomal RNA", at positions 29 to 507 of the family's 1533-position model. The record is from RNAcentral.